GAUAAAUUGAAGAAUGGUGGGGUAGAGUGCAAGGUUGGUCUUUGAUGUCGAUUUCGAAAGUUGAAGAGCUUUUCUAGACAAGCUAAGCAUUUUCAUUUCCCAUUAAAUCAAACUAAUAAUAUUAAUUAUUAAAAAAAAUACAACCCAAGUGAAGAAGAAUCACUCCUUCCCAUACCAUCUUUAUAUACUCUCACUCCAUUCUCUCAUCUCUUCAUCUCUCUCUCUGAAUUCCUCGUGUUCAGGUCUGUGUUCUUCUAUCUCAGUCUCCUUUUGUCUUUGCUUUCAUGUUUGCUACUUUUUCUUGUGUCAUUCAAAGGGUGAUUUGGUGCAAAGUUUUUAUUUUUCUUGCUUUUUGGUAUGUGCUUAUCACUUUUGUUUUGCAUGGAUGCUUCAGAUUUCAUUUCUAGGGUUGAUUGAUGUAAUAGUCAUUGUGAAAAUGUGUACUUGAGUGGUCUAACUCUAACCGCAUGUUACUUGCUUUUUAAGUGCUUAUUCAUCUCCUGAAUUUUCAUGUAUUAGUCUGAUCUAAUGAUCUGCAUGUGCUUAAGUGCUUUUGCUAACUUUGCCAAUCCUCUCUUGAUUAAUUUUUGUAAGAUCUGUUCAUCCAAUUUUGCUUGUCUCUUUAGAGAUAAGUAGAUUGUAAACAAGUGUUCAAUAAUCACAGCAUGAAGGGGAAGGGCGCUUUUAUUGCAUUGUUACUUUUGGCUUGCAUGGCCUUCCUGCUCUCUUCAGCUACGCAGCAAUCAAAGGUAGUGAAAGGAGCCACAGCCACUAGAAGGCUUUUAAGGGAGCAAGAGCUGGUUUUGGAGGAAGAGGAGGAGGAGGAGUUCCAAGUUAACGUGGUCCUAGUGCUGUUAAUAAUGAAAUUAAUCAAGGCUUGCAUAAACUCCUUCCUCUACUUUAUUGUGUGUGUUAAUUAUUACUAUAGCUAGUAGUAAUAAACAUAUCAUCGCCUCUUAGUUUUCACUUUGUAAUGGUGUUUGUCAAAUAAACAUGUAUAUAUCUACUCCUUCUCUUUUUUCGUAUGACUUAAUGUCCAUGUCCAUGUUUUAGUCUUCUUUGCAAGUCUUGGACUUUAAUGUCAAAAAAGCUAAGGCUGAGAUAAAUCAAAGGUUAGAGGUAAACAAGAUUUCUGUAAUCUUUAUCCAACAAGCUAAGAUGUAUAGUUUUUUCUUGUACCA
This is a non-coding RNA of Arachis ipaensis, 1181 nucleotides long. Lineage: Eukaryota; Viridiplantae; Streptophyta; Magnoliopsida; Fabales; Fabaceae. The record is from RefSeq and is a predicted model, not a curated record.